Molecule: small nuclear RNA, 107 nt
Filed under: Dasypus novemcinctus (nine-banded armadillo)
Lineage: Eukaryota; Metazoa; Chordata; Mammalia; Cingulata; Dasypodidae
Source: RNAcentral
GUACUCACUUCAGCAGCACAAAUACUAAAAUUGAAAUGAGAUAGAGAAGAUUAGUAUGGCCCCUGCACGAGGGUGAUGUGCAAAUUUGUGAAGGAUUCCAUAUAAAA